Molecule: ribosomal RNA, 427 nt
Filed under: uncultured bacterium
Lineage: Bacteria
Description: bacterial SSU rRNA
Rfam family: Bacterial small subunit ribosomal RNA
Source: RNAcentral
GACGAACGCUGGCGGCGUGCCUAAUACAUGCAAGUCGAGCGGGGUUACUACGUCAGAUUCCUUCGGGAAGACGAUGUUUUAACCUAGCGGCGGACGGGUGAGUAACGCGUGGGUAACCUGCCCUAGAGACCGGGAUAACAACGGGAAACCGUUGCUAAUACCGGAUACCUUUACAGGGAGGCAUCUUUCUGUAAAGAAAGCAUAAGCGCUCUAGGAUGGGCCCGCGUCCCAUUAGCUAGUUGGUGAGGUAACUGCUCACCAAGGCGACGAUGGGUAGCCGGCCUGAGAGGGUGACCGGCCACACUGGGACUGAGACACGGCCCAGACUCCUACGGGAGGCAGCAGUAGGGAAUAUUGCGCAAUGGGCGAAAGCCUGACGCAGCGACGCCGCGUGAGUGAUGAAGGCCUUCGGGUCGUAAAACUCUGU